RNAcentral lists this transfer RNA (72 nucleotides) under Ovis aries (sheep). It matches the Rfam family "tRNA". Rfam says of the family: Transfer RNA (tRNA) molecules are approximately 80 nucleotides in length. Their secondary structure includes four short double-helical elements and three loops (D, anti-codon, and T loops). The record is from Rfam by way of RNAcentral. Lineage: Eukaryota; Metazoa; Chordata; Mammalia; Artiodactyla; Bovidae.
UCCCUGGUGGCUCAGACGGUAAAGCGUCUGCCUGCAAUGCGGGAGACCCGGGUUCGAUUCCUGGCUUGGGAA